Molecule: ribosomal RNA, 827 nt
Filed under: uncultured bacterium
Lineage: Bacteria
Description: bacterial SSU rRNA
Rfam family: Bacterial small subunit ribosomal RNA
Source: RNAcentral
GCUAACUACGUGCCAGCAGCCGCGGUAAUACGUAGGACGCAAGCGUUAUCCGGAUUUACUGGGCGUAAAGAGGGCGCAGGCGGCCCUUCAAGUCAGGUGUUAAAACUCUUGGCUUAACUGAGAGAUGCCAUCUGAUACUGUUGGGCUUGAGAGCAGUAGGGGGAGACGGAAUUCCCGGUGUAGUGGUGAAAUACGUAGAUAUCGGGAGGAACACCAGUGGCGAAAGCGGUCUCCUUGGCUGUUUCUGACGCUUAUGCCCGAAAGCGUGGGGAGCGAACAGGAUUAGAUACCCUGGUAGUCCACGCCGUAAACUAUGAGCACUUGCCAUAGGGAGUAUCGACCCUCCCUGUGCCGAAGCUAACGCGUUAAGUGCUCCGCCUGGGGAGUACGGUCGCAAGACUAAAACUCAAAGGAAUUGACGGGGGCCCGCACAAGCAGCGGAGCGUGUGGUUUAAUUCGAUGCAACACGAAGAACCUUACCAAGGCUUGACAUGACAGAAGUAGCAGACCGAAAGGCGAGCCACCUGUUGAAUCAGGAACUGCCACAAGUGCUGCAUGGCUGUCGUCAGCUCGUGCCGUGAGGUGUUGGGUUAAGUCCCGCAACGAACGCAACCCUUUUUGCCAGUUGAUUUCUCUGGCGAGACUGCCCCGCAAAACGGGGAGGAAGGUGGGGAUGACGUCAAGUCAGCAUGGCCCUUAUGCCUUGGGCUACACACACGCCACAAUGGGCGGUACAAUGGGUUGCCACAGAGCGAUCUGGAGCUAAUCCCCAAAGCCGUCCUCAGUACGGAUUACAGGCUGAAACCCGCCUGUAUGAAGCUGGAGUU